UACAGAGGGUGCAAACGUUGCUCGGAAUUAUUGGGCGUAAAGCGCAUGUAGGCGGCCUAGUAAGUUCGCUGUGAAAGCCCUUGGCUCAACCAAGGAAGUGCAGCGAAAACUGCUAAGCUCGAGUUCUGAAGAGGGUCGCGGAAUGGCCAGUGUAGAGGUGAAAUUCGUAGAUAUUGGCUAGAACACCAGUGGCGAAGGCGGCGACCUGGGAAGAUACUGACGCUGAGAUGCGAAAGCGUGGGGAGCAAACAGG
RNAcentral lists this ribosomal RNA (253 nucleotides) under uncultured bacterium. RNAcentral describes it as "partial 16S ribosomal RNA". It matches the Rfam family "Bacterial small subunit ribosomal RNA", at positions 524 to 776 of the family's 1533-position model. The record is from RNAcentral.